This 76-nucleotide transfer RNA is filed under the name bacterium. RNAcentral describes it as "tRNA-Val". It matches the Rfam family "tRNA". Rfam says of the family: Transfer RNA (tRNA) molecules are approximately 80 nucleotides in length. The record is from RNAcentral. RNAcentral also lists the same sequence under 2 other names.
GGGCGAUUAGCUCAGCUGGGAGAGCGUCUGCCUUACAAGCAGAGGGUCGUAGGUUCGAUCCCUACAUCGCCCACCA